This is a long non-coding RNA of Vespa mandarinia (Asian giant hornet), 3500 nucleotides long. The record is from RefSeq and is a predicted model, not a curated record. Lineage: Eukaryota; Metazoa; Arthropoda; Insecta; Hymenoptera; Vespidae.
GACGGCGCUAGUUAGUCCUUUACGUAUACUGUUAUCUACGAAUCUAUUUAUUUCUUAAUAUGUUUCAUAGUAGAUUACGUUAUGUUAUUUUACGAUAAUCAGUACACAUUUUAAAAACAAUAGUAUUCUCUUUGAUUUAUCACAAGUUUUUAUAAAUUCUACACCGACAUAUUUGUGUCCUUGAAACGAACGAUAGAAUCUCGUAAUAUACCUUAGGAAUAUAAUUUAACGAUGAAGGAUAGAAAUGAUCUUGUUGCACGCGACGAGUGACCUUUAACAAUCGACCCGAUCUAUAUCGUUCUUCCUCGUGUAUAUAUAUAUAUUUUUUUUUCUCAAGCGAUACUUCAUGUUUUUAAAUCAUGCAAGUUUUUACCUCUUUGCCUUUGAAUACGAUCUUUUUAUAAAAGUUAAAAAAACGUUAGUCAUUUCAACAAUAUUGCUAUCAGUCAAAUAAACAUAUGACCGACCUAUUUAUGUCAAACUUUGAUCAGUUAUUUUAUCGUUUUCAUGUAUGCAAUUUGUACAUGUAUACAUGCGUACCUAUGUAUAGGUGUGUUAUAUCUCAUACGAGUACUGCAACGACGUGAAAGAGACUCGAUGAAAGAGGCUCGGCUGGAGGCUCGACCAAUCGUAUCGUCGAAAGUUAAAAAUAGACAAUUCGUAGUUAUAUCGUGCUAACAGAAGUUUCGUCGAGUAUUUAACACGAUAUAUGUAAUCAACGUUUUUCGAUAGUUUAAAAAAAAAAUAGUACAAAAAAUAGACGUACAUAUCUACGCGCAUAUUUUAACAGAUGUAUAGAAAAAUUCAUUUUUAACUAAUUUGUGAAUUGUAAUUGAAUCAAUUCGAACGUAGUCUAUACUAAUUUUAAAACAAAAACUAAUUUUAGAUUUCGUCUAUCUUUUCUAUGUAAACAUGUACACGUGUUAUCUCAAAUACACAUCUCACGUGUCUCACAUGAAUGUCUUUGAUGUUAAGUUCGAAUGACUGAUAUUGAUAUCGUACCACUAUAAAUGUAAAUGUAAAAUUGAAAUAUAUAUCAGUUCGAAAUUUUAAAUGCAUAUAAUCAAAAUCCUAGAGAAAUUGUAUAUUAUUUGACGGUAGAGACCGAAUAUUUUCUUAGAAAUUGUUGUAGAAGAGAUCCAUUAACGGGUUUAAUCUCACCUGAAUAAAAGUAUAAAUCUCGUGUCAACUUGAUCUCUCUCGUUCGGUCUGGACUCAUUCGUUUCCCAUGAUUCGAAUGUAACUGAAGAUCAUAGACGUGAUGGAUCGCGAUCGUUAAAUAUUUUUUGUUAACAUACUUGCUCCUCGUAUACAGUUAGAAGAGAUCGCCUAUCGUAGAAGAUCGAUUUUCUCUUAUAUAAAACAUAGAAGUUGCGGCCAUUAUCUCGCGAGCUUCAUACUUUUCUGAUUCAAGGUUAGUUAUACAAGCGGUAACCAGCAAUUUAAAAUUCGAUAAAAAUGACGGUGAGAAUCCGUGAAAGAAUUCUGCAAGAAAAUUGAUCCUAAGAUGAUCGUGUGAAAGAGAGAAUCUUGUUGGCUAUGUAAUCUAAGAGAGUAAUAGAGAGAUAGAAAGAGAGAGAGAGAGAGAGAGAGAGAGAGAGAGAGAGAGAAAUAGUGAGAGGAGAGAGAAGGAGGUGUGGGAGAAGGGAAAAGAAGACGAGAAAGAAACGUGAAUUCUACGAAUAGAAAGCGUGCCGAUCGAAAAUUACAUCUAAGAGAAUUCUGAACGGAGAAAAGCACGCUUUUGCGAGUACACUCAAGACGGCAAAAGAUACGAAUUAUUGGCCUCGAAGCCUUUCCAUAAACCAUACGGAGAAAGAGAACGUUAGUUGAAUGUGUAUGUAACGAAAUGUUUGUGUAUGUGGUAGGAGAGACAUACGAAUUCACGCAAUAUGCGUAUAUACGUAUCGUUGGUCGAUUCUGAAUUUAUACUUUCUUGGAAUGGAACGUAAAAUUGUUUAAAAUUUUAAUAGAGAUAUAAUAGCUACGGUUUCUAAAAAGUUGACUUUAAUUGCAAGUUUUACAAAUUAGAAGAAAAGAUUUACUCUUUCGAAUAAAAUGUAAUUACUCAAAAAAAAUUUUACAGAUCUUAACAAAUUAAAUAAUUAAAUUCAAUUUUCUAAGGAAAAAGAAAAGUAAUUUCGAUUUCUAUCGAACGGUUAUUACCAGGACUUUCCCGCGUAAAUUACGAGACGAAAGUUAACUAGUCGAGCCCCUGUGAACGGCGCCUUCUGAUUGGUCAUUGCGUACGGUUAAAACGUAAUCUAAGAACCAGUUCUUGUUGCGUCAGUCGGUAUUAUAACGAAUUUUUACAUACACAUAUAUCUAACGAGAAGCAUAUAAGAUGACUAAUUUGAUACUACUCAAUCCCAUUAUAUGAUCAUUAAAUAGCAAUUUGAUAUUAAAAUAUUUAUUAUAUUUAAUCCCGUAUCGAAAUUAUUAAAGUUUUUUCUUUCUUUUUUCUUUACAUAAAUUUUAUCUCAUAACUUUCGUCUCUUUAAGAAUGUAUGUGUUUCAUUUAAAGAAUUUACUUCUUAUAGUAUAUAUUCCUUAUCUUCUUAGUAUAUAUUUCUUCUCAACAAUAAACUUAUUAUCAAGUUAUCAGAUGCACGUGUCAUUCCUCGUGCCUUUCAUUCCAGCAACGAUUCGCGAUUUACGUCAUUUCGGCAUAUGAACGUCAAGAAAUGAUAAUAGUAAAUAAUGAAGAGCCAAUAAAUAGAGUAAAGCGAGAGCACAUUCAAUUCUCUACUAAAGAUAGAGCAGAGGGCAGAAAGACAUUCUUUAAAAGAAAGGAUGACAGGAUGACCGAACUUGCUAUAUAAAAGCAAUACCUACUGCUUUCGUCUCGGAAUGCGUUUAUAUUUAGUGAGUCAACGUGCUGGAAACGAAAGGAACGAAAGAGCAUUGUCGGAUUCAACCAAUGUAUUUUCAGCUGUCUAUAUUGUUCUAACAGGAUAUUCAACACAAUACAUCUGGUUUGAUAUUUUUUUCUUUGUUAAACGAAAGAAAAUUAAAAUCGAAAUGAAUAUUCGAAUGAAUUUUUGUUUUUUACUGAAAGGAAAAGCAUUUUUUCAAAUAGAAUUUAAGGUGAUAACAGAACGAAUUUCGGAGUACAUUAAACAGAGUCUAAAGUCUUCUUAUUGACUGAAUCAUAAAAAAAAGAAUGGAAAGAAUGUAUGUGGGCUUAAAAUCGACGUCAACGUUUCGAAGUUCACAAAUGUAAAUGAUUCUGAUUGUUUUACUAUAUCUAAGGAAAAGAGUGGGAGUGCAAAUGAAAAGACUAUCUAUCAUUGAAUCACUUUCUAUCUUUGGGAGAUCUUUAACAAGGAAUUAUUUCGUAGAUAAGAGAAAACAAGAAAGAGAGAGUGGAAAACGUACUUUAUUCACUGUUUAUCAUUUUUUAUGCUGACAUGAAAUAUUUAUAUAUAAAUCGUUCAUUUGUCAAAGUGAUUAACUACGCAAAACAAAAAAUAAAGAAAAUUAAUAAAAUUAUAAAUGUA